This 253-nucleotide ribosomal RNA is filed under the name uncultured bacterium. RNAcentral describes it as "partial 16S ribosomal RNA". It matches the Rfam family "Bacterial small subunit ribosomal RNA", at positions 524 to 776 of the family's 1533-position model. The record is from RNAcentral.
UACGAGGGGUGCAAGCGUUGCUCGGAAUUAUUGGGCGUAAAGGGUAGGUAGGUGGUCUCGUUUGUCAGGGGUGAAAGCCUUGGGCUUAACCCAAGAAGUGCCUCUGAAACGGCGAGACUCGAGUCCUGGAGAGGGUCGUGGAAUUCCCGGUGUAGCGGUGAAAUGCGUAGAGAUCGGGAGGAACACCAGAGGCGAAGGCGGCGACCUGGACAGGUACUGACACUCAACUACGAAAGCGUGGGGAGCAAACAGG